Molecule: RNA transcript, 2449 nt
Organism: Lycium ferocissimum
Lineage: Eukaryota; Viridiplantae; Streptophyta; Magnoliopsida; Solanales; Solanaceae
Exons: 3
Source: RefSeq, a predicted model, not a curated record
UCAGGUAGGUCAACAUGUGUAGCAGUGCACAAUAGGAGAUGUAUUGUUCUAGGUCGCCCUUCCUAUUAGUCCGUUAUAGCUUUGGAGGCUAAUUGUCAGUGGACAAUCAAUCAACUUGGAAUAAAGCUUCAAAUAACCUAAACAGAGUUCUGGUGAUUCGUCACAAUAUGCUAUGAUGGUGUUUAUAAUCAUGUCUUGCAAUUGUUGGAUCGAAGAUGCUAUAGAAGCGUACUUGUUUGUUUUGAGUAUUCAAUGACUUGUCAGGAAGAUUCACUUGUGAGAGCAAUGGAUUAGGGAAAAUUGGCAGUAUCGAUAAUGAAUGACUGAAAUCAUGACAUAGCUAUUACAGAUGUUUUCUAGCCAUGUCAUAACAUAUGUUUGAUCAAAAAAGUUUUUCAUUGAGUGAAAUGCGAAGUUUAAAGUUAAUUGUUUUUCCAACAUAGAAAUGUGACGUUCUUUUAGGGAAUGGACUAAUACAGAAAUAGCACAAACCAAAUUGGAACGAAGGGGCGGGGGUACCAUUUUUAUGCAAUCCAGUAAGUAGUGAAUCUGGCUAUUACAGGUGUUUUCUAGGUACUAUAAAUUCUGAAGCUCCGAGGGAAUAUCUUCGUGAUCAAGGUGCUGCAUCACCAAUUUAGCACGUCAACUGGCUGGUUAAUUCCAACGAUAGGGAGAAUAAGAGUACUUUUUCUGCAACAAUUACUUUUUGAUCUGGAGUAAUUUGUUUGAAGGAAUUAAGAUUUUGAUCAUAAUGAUAUACAGAGCAAAAUGGUUACACAUGAUUCAUAUAGUCGAUUCCAUCUUUUUUUGGGAUCGAGGCAUAAAUCAUUGAUACUAAUGAUAGCUCAUAAUUUACAGUUCAAUAAAAGGAGAAUAAGAGAUUGAACAAUCACUAUCUUUAGCCUUUAGGCUUUCCUAAUGGAAUGGUGUUGAUGGUGAUGAUUUGAAGAGGUACUCAAUAGCAUGGAAGCAAUAGAGUGGAAAGCGUUUACAUCCACCUCUGUUGAAGAUUGCAACAUGUUUAACACCAAAGAGUCGUAUUCUGAGUUUACCCUAAUUUUAAAGCAAGGCACAGAACAUUUAUUUACACCAAUAUAUUAAGAAAGGCACUUCAGUGAUUCCUUUUCUCCCUGCCAAGGCAUUGCAUCUAUAAAUUAUUUGAUCUUUCUGCAGUACUGCUAUAUAUCUGUUAACAUGGCACUUUCAGGUCAAAUUGUCUGGCAAAUUUUAUCGUCCACUCCAGAUUUUAGGAGUCGCCAAAGCAUUCCGCUAUUGAAAACUCCGAAUGCAAAAAUCACCAAACUAAAUGAACAAAAACUCAAAAUAGGAAGUAUCAAGAGCAGACAGAGGUUCUCGAUCGCGCAUUCAAUGGUCAAUCCUGAAAUUGGCAAACGUUCACUUUCACCAUCCAACACAAUCGAAACAUUCUACGCCAGCAUAAAUAACAAGGACCUGAACCAACUGUCCUUGCUCAUAUCUCAAGAUUGUUUCAUUGAUGAUUUCUCAUUCCCUCAAUCAUUUCAAGGGAGAAAGGAGGCAUAAAAAUUUCUGGAACAACUAACCACGAGCAUGGGCCAAGACACAGAAUUAAGCAUAGAUAACAUUUAUGAAGGUGUUGAUCUUACAGCAAUAGUAAAAUGGCAUUUAGAGUGGAAGAAGAAGGAAGUUCCCUUCACAAGACGUUGCAGUUACUAUGAAUUAUCAAGUGAUGGAGAACAAAUACUCAUGAAGUAAAAUAAUCCACACCUGUCAAAGAAGUCAUUUUAAAUUUAAUUUAAGCCUCUUACUUUAUCAGCACAAGCAUAAAUAUUGAUGAACAAAUAACGUUUGCAGGAAUGCUCAAGUUAUUUCAGAAUCAUCUAUGAUACCAAGAAUUUUGGUAUGUCUAUAACCUGUUUUUUUGGUAUGUCUAUAACCUGUUUUUUUAACAUUGGCGAAUAGAAUCCUUAAUUCUCCAAGAGUUGUAACACUGCUACAAAAUCACAUUUUACCCACUGAAAUUUCCCACCGAAAAAUGUUUGGUCGCUACUUACACCGAAUUUUGGUGGGAAAAAACUAAAUAAUAGUGUUUCCACACAGAAAAAUCAGAAAGUUUCCCAGCGUUUCAAUGGGAACCUGUUUUCCAACAUGUAUUUUCCGAGUGAGUUGGUUCGAUCGAAAUGAGGUGGGAAAAUUAUGUUUUAUAACACAAAAUUCCACUGAAUGUCGGUGGGAUAAACCUCUGUUUCUAGUAGUGACUGUUUCAUUAACACGCCCUUUUGUUGUCCUGUCAAAAAACAAGCGGUGUUCAAUAUGGUAACUUCAAUAUUUGACGACAUCCCUAAGGCUGCUAGGAGUAUGUCAAUCUUUUUUUGUUACAUUUUAAACUAUAAGAAAUUAAAAAGGAAAAGAAAAUUCUCACAGGGCAUGAAUUUUGUUUUUUCCCUUUGCAGGGUUUCUAAAGAACCAC